CAUGGGGUCCAUUUCGCCAAAUUUCAACUGUCCCCACCUUCCCAAGGUUCUGUUGGCUGCACAGACGUUGCCAAUUUCUUUUACACGGUUUCCAUACGCAACUGCAAGUUGUCAGCCAUGUUAAUAUCGACCGUACGGUCUUCUUCUCAGCCAAGUCUUUUGCUUUAUGUAGUAAUUCAAGUGGAUUAAUGAAGCAUUCCCUCACGAACUGAGAGUUUGGGUGAGCUGGUUUAGAGCAGAAACGCUUAUGCGCAUCAAGGCCCAUAACACCUUCUGUUUGUGACUGUCUUCUGCUUAUGCGUACCAAGGCCCCUGAGUCAUAACAGCUUCAAUUUGCGACUGUCUUCCGAGGAGAUGGCUCAACAAGACAAUCCUACUUGUGGCAGCCACGAAGACAAAGGAGUUCUUAUUGGUCAAGUAAAUGGUGGAGACCGAACACAAUUGAUCAGGAUUAAAUUGGGAAAAUAUUGAAAUCUAAUUUUUUUCAAAAUUUUCUAUGUUUUAGUAAAUUGCAAUUUUGAGGGUCUUCGGUGCAUUUUUGGACAAAUAUGCUGCGGAAACAUGAUGAGAUAUCAUCAAUGUUUCCGAAAUUUGGUUCUAGAUUAUUUGAAUACCUUUCCAACGCAUCAAACGGUUUGUAAUUGGGAGCUAGGAUGAGAAAGUUAUGCCUUCUCAAAGUGGACUAAAAUUUUAUA
Molecule: long non-coding RNA, 695 nt
Organism: Cryptomeria japonica (Japanese cedar)
Lineage: Eukaryota; Viridiplantae; Streptophyta; Pinopsida; Cupressales; Cupressaceae
Exons: 4
Source: RefSeq, a predicted model, not a curated record